UACGUAGGGAGCGAGCGUUGUCCGGAUUUACUGGGUGUAAAGGGUGCGUAGGCGGCUUGGCAAGUCAGAUGUGAAAACCCGGGGCUUAACCCCGGGCCUGCAUUUGAAACUGUUGGGCUUGAGUGCUGGAGAGGUAAGCGGAAUUCCUAGUGUAGCGGUGAAAUGCGUAGAUAUUAGGAGGAACACCAGUGGCGAAGGCGGCUUACUGGACAGUAACUGACGCUGAGGCACGAAAGCGUGGGGAGCAAACAGG
This 253-nucleotide ribosomal RNA is filed under the name uncultured bacterium. Its description in RNAcentral is "partial 16S ribosomal RNA". It matches the Rfam family "Bacterial small subunit ribosomal RNA", at positions 524 to 776 of the family's 1533-position model. The record is from RNAcentral.